UUCUAACGCGGAAAGGCUAAUUAAUGACUGUAGAGAUAACUUUACCAAAUUGGCAUUACAUAAUCAACAAGUACUGACAUUACUACUACUACUAGUUACUUCUUCUCUAGAUCAACAUCGCACAAGUCAGUUUCAGGAAUCCUCUUUCUUUGAACUUUCUCAAACCUUAUUCAUUAAGGUUUUGGUGGAGUUGUUAUUGAUAUAAAUACACUCCCAACUACUCCAUUCACCAAAUUAAGAGAAGUUGUUCAAUUUUUCAAAGUCUAAUACACAAUUAGUGCUUGUUUUGUGAUUCUUGAGUGUAAGCUGGUGUAGUUAGGUCAAGAUGAGUGAUCCAAAGUAUGCUUACCCAUAUCCUGCUCAAGGUUACUAUCAAGGUCCUCCUGUAAUGGCACCACCACAAUAUUAUGCUCCACCACCAAGAAGAGAACCUGGUUUUAUUGAAGGAUGCCUUGCUGCUUUGUGUUGUUGCUGUCUCAUUGAUGAAUGUUGCUGUGAUCCUUCCAUCAUUUGUUUCUUUUAGUAUAACACCAAGUACUAGUAGUGAAUUUACUAAGACUCCAUCUCAGUUUGUGUAUUGAAUUUGCUAUUGAGUCUUAAAAACAUUACUUCUUCCUCUAGAUCUUUGGGUUGUAUUCAUGAUGUAGUAUCUUAAAGUAAUUAAAGGUAAUUUCUUGAUAAAGGAAA
This is a long non-coding RNA of Papaver somniferum (opium poppy), 687 nucleotides long. RefSeq lists it as uncharacterized. The transcript is spliced from 2 exons. The record is from RefSeq and is a predicted model, not a curated record. NCBI's taxonomy places the organism in Eukaryota, Viridiplantae, Streptophyta, Magnoliopsida, Ranunculales, Papaveraceae.